CUUCUUUCGUUUACCCAGUAACUUUUUUUAACUUAGGAAAAAAGUUAACAAGUUAAAGUUCAUAUAAUUUUAAUAAUAAAUAGAUGAAGUUGCUUUAACUUUUUAACUAGUUAUUAUCUAACCCUGAUUUUUAUGUACUUGGCAUGUUUUACUUUUUUUUAAAAAAGUUGAAGACCCUGUAGGGCAAACGUAUUAAAUUCAAAAAGUUAAAUUUGAAUAUGUAGUGCUGUAAGCGACAUGUGAAGAUAAGUGAGACAGGACAAGAUUUCUAAAAAUUUAAAAGAUGAAAGAUCUGAAGAAUUGAUUGACAGCAGAAACCCAGAAUUUAUGAACUUGUCGGGGGUGUCAAACGUUCAAUGACGAGGAUAAAAAUUCCUGAUAUCAUUUAUUAUCUUCUCUCGUUUUCUUGUCACUUAGCUCGAGCACCAAAGCAAUUAGAAACUAGCUUUCAAGACGCAUGUAUGCCACAUGCCGCGUUCGAGAAUUAUUAUGGAAAGCACUCGAGCCCGUCGAGCACGUCAUCGUCAUGACCGAAAUGGCUUUAACCGAUCGUGAAACCGCCGCCGUCCGAGUUUUGCACACAUAGAAAGUAACACGCUUUCCUCGCACUUGCUCCCUGCAAGAUCGCUGCUCCUAUUCAAACUUCAUCGCCGAUCACGUGCUCGCCACUGAGCGAAUUUCCUUUCGCCUUGAAAUCGCUUUCAGAUAGUAUAUACAUAUUUUUUUUUACAAACAUACGAGUCAACGUUCCUAAAACGUAAAUUAAAUCCGGUUAAUGUUUUCUUAUUUCGAAAAAUAAUUUAAUUUACAACUAAUUUGAUUAUUGCAAAACAAGUCACACUCGAACAGAAACAAGAUAAAAAAUAUAAAUGUUAAAGAGAUAACAGGAUUUUUAAUUUCUAUUUAAUUUUAGAUAAGAAAUCUAAAAAAGAAGGCAAGUUAAAGCGACAGAUUUGUCACGCUCGUGACGCAAUAAUGUAGGUCUUGACUUGGCAAACAUAUUUAAUGCAAUGUAAGUCUUGACUUGACAAACAUUUAACGAAGUAUCAACACACAUUCGCGCAUAUUCGUGCAUUUUAAUAACAAAUUUUGAAAUAAGUUUAUUGUCCAUUCAAAAGUCACGAUAUAAAUAUAUUUCAAAAAGAAUAAAGAUAAUAUAAAAGUAAAAAAAAAGUUGCAUAUAUCGUUUUAGGCAGAUAAAAUCACGUUUCUCCAUAUGUAUUUUUUCAAUUGUCAUAGAAACAAUAAGUCGACGAGGAACAAAGUUACAAGCGCAUCGAAAGGGCAACAUUAGUUACAUAAGGAAUAUAGGUCAAAGGUAAGUCACCAUUUUUCACGUAAUAAGACACCUUGCGCAACACCAUUUUUUCUGCGAACUCGGACCCGUCGUUUGCCCCAUCAGAUUUAAGAUUAAUAUCAUAUGAUGAAUGGAUUGCAAAUCGUCAUUACGUAGAUAAAUCAUUCAAACUAAUUAGAUCUUACAGUGAAUUAAACAAACAACACUUUGAUUUAUUUGAAUUGUAAAUAAAUUGCGAGGUGCCUAUUAAAUAAAUUAAAAAAAAAUAUUAAUCACAGAUGUGCUUAAAGAAACUUGAUUGAACUUUAACGACGCGACUGUGCUCUCUCGUGACAUUGCGAUUCAUGUCAGUUUAGAUUUCACAGUAAUUUUCUGUAAAUGAUAUGGAGGGGUAGUAAAUUGUGCAAUGCGAAUGUUACAUAAAUGAUGAUUAAAUAAUCGGAAUGAACCGGCGAAAUAGACAAAGUGCACUUGAAUUUUCUAUUGGCAACGGCUCUACUUUUUUCCUAUUAUUCAUUAAAUCCACUUAUAUAAAUUACACAAAUAUUUCUAAAUGCGUUAGUUGAAAGGCAUUCCUUUCUUCAUAAUUAUUAUUUAUCUCCAGUGCGCAAGAUUUAAAGUGUAUUGCCCUUACGUUAAAGGAAAAGUUGGAUCAUUGACACUCUUUGAUGAAGUUUCAACGUUUCUAUUACAUCAGAGAAAUGCCACUAUUAAUGCUCGAAAUCUGUUAAUAUCGUUUAAAACGUUUUACACGCUCUUCAUCAAACUGAGGCUCAAACGGGGCCACGAAUGCUGAGGGUGAAAAUGCGCAAAGGAAGAGAAAGAAAAAGAAGAAAACAAGUGAAGAGAAAGAGGAAUUUAAUAAAGUUAAAAUUCUAAAAAUUAACGGAAAGACAAAAUUUAAAUAGCUAUAUUCGAUAUCAUAGUUAUUAACUUCAUGGCUCCUGGUAUUUAUGGUAUUUUAAGCAAAACAGAAUUUCUUAUAAAAUAUUGUAUUUGUUUAAUUUAUAUUUUGCUUGUAAUAUUCUAACAUGCUGAUAUAAUUCUAAAUAUUAUUUACACAUAUUCUAUUUUUAUAUCUAAUCCUGUUAUAUAUAUAAAAAAAUGUUUUCCAUGUUUUAGUUGAGCUAAUCUGUGCAUGUGCAAAUGCGCGAAAGAAAAAAGAGGGAAAUAUGAGUGAAUUCGAACAUGCGCGAUGGCGUGUUACAGAAGUUACUUUCUCUAAGAUAGCAACAUUGUUUCAAGUCGCGAGGCAUAUGUUGAAGGACUUCAAGAACCCGCCAACUCCAAGAAUUUUAUAAAAUUAGCUCGGUCACGCACGGUGUAACAGGAAUUAUGACACGUGCCUAGUGAGCAGCCAACGAGAACCGGUUAGGCGCACCGCGAAAUCAUUUGAUUGCGAGAUAAGGAAGUCGAGUAUUUAAAUCGCAUUUAUCUCGAUAGCGCAGUCAUUAACCCGAGCAUAUCGAUCGCAUUCUUAGGCAUUAAUUAAGUAUUAAAUUUUAUUAUGCAAAGUUUUCCAAAUUUAAAAAAUUUCUAAAUAAAAGAAAAUUUCAUUAAUUAAAAAUUCGAUGAAAAGUAUUGAUAUUUUACUCCAGAAUGAUGAAAACAAAAUGUAAACUUUCCAGUAGUCUUUAUAUUCUAUUUAAAUAUUAAUAAAAAAAAUUAAUAAAUUUUAAAAAAUUUUUCUAAAAAUUGAAUAUGAAGACAACAAUAUUAAAUAACAAUUUAAUACAUUAUAAGAUAUUUUACUCUUAUAAAAAAUUAACUAUACAAAUAGAAGAGACGUCCCAAAUACAUCGCAAGUUUUUCUUAAAAAAUAUUAAUUAUUGUAAUUUUAUUAAAAAGUUAGUUACUAUUUUUGUCUAGAAUUUGAUCAUCAUUUCUAAUAGAAAUAAUAAGAGGACAAUCGAUUAUUAUUUAAAUAGAAUUAUGUAAAUAUAAUAAAAUAUUUCUACCAAAUAA
This is a long non-coding RNA of Solenopsis invicta (red fire ant), 3262 nucleotides long. RefSeq lists it as uncharacterized. The record is from RefSeq and is a predicted model, not a curated record. Lineage: Eukaryota; Metazoa; Arthropoda; Insecta; Hymenoptera; Formicidae. The transcript is spliced from 2 exons.